RNAcentral lists this ribosomal RNA (1404 nucleotides) under Triticum aestivum (bread wheat). RNAcentral describes it as "partial small subunit ribosomal RNA". Lineage: Eukaryota; Viridiplantae; Streptophyta; Magnoliopsida; Poales; Poaceae. The record is from RNAcentral.
AUGGAUCUGGCAACGGGCGCCAUGGGCUCCCUGAUUCCCAAGCUGUUUGAGCUCCUCAAGGAGGAGUACAAGCUGAAGGAGAGCGUCAAAGAAGGCAUCAGAUCUCUUGAGAAAGAGAUGAAGAGCAUGCAGGCUGCCCUCGGCAAGGUGGGUGAGAUGCCGCGGGACCAGCUUGACGAGCAGGUCAAGAUCUGGGCAGGGGAGGUGAGGGAGCUCUCCUUUGACAUGGAGGAUGUCGUCGACAAGUUUCUGGUGCGUGUGGAUGACGGCUCCAAGCCUGCCGCCAACCCGAAGAAACUCAAACGGUUCGCCAAGAAGAUGGUCGGCUUAUUCACCAAGGGGAAGACUCACCAUGAGAUCGCCGACGCGAUCAAGGCCAUCAAGAAGCAAGUACAAGAGGUUGCUGACAGGCGUGCAAGGUACAAUAUCAACAAUAUUAUCUCUAAGCCUGCUGCCGUGACUCCCAUCGAUCCUCGCCUUGGGGCUCUGUACCAGGAAGUGAGAGAUCUUGUUGGCAUUACCGGAACAAGGGAUCAAGAGAUAAUAGAGCUGCUGUCGGAGGGGGACGACAUGUCCAAGAAAAAGUUGAAGAUCAUCUCUGUUGUUGGAUUUGGAGGAUUGGGCAAGACAACUCUUGUCAAAACAGUUUAUGACAAGAUCAAGGGAGAUUUCAACUGCAGGGCUUUUGUUCCUGUCGGUCGAAAUGCUAAUGCGAAGGAGGUUUUCAUGGACAUCCUGCACGAGCUUGAUCCUGAAAAGGACAAAGGUCAGCUCACCAUGUUGAAUGAAAGACAACUCAUUGACAAAAUCCAACUGCGUCUCGAGAACAAGAGGUAUCUCAUUGUAAUUGAUGAUAUAUGGGAUGAAAAGCUAUGGAAAAUUAUCAAUUUGGCAUUCUCUAAUAGCAAUAAUGGCAGUCGGUUAAUCACAACAACCCGUAUAGCCAGUGUAGCUAAACGGUGCUGCUCAUCCACCAAUGAUUCAAUCUAUCAAAUGCAACCACUUAGUGAUGAUGAUUCUAGAAGGCUCUUCUAUAGUAGGAUAUUUUCUCAUGAGAGUGGGUGUCCUCAUGAAUUUGAAGAGGUAUCUAGAGAUAUAUUGAAGAAAUGUGGUGGUGUGCCAUUAGCCAUCAUUACAAUAGCUGGUGUUUUGGCUAGUGAACAGAAAGUAAAUUCACAUGAUGAGUGGCAUGUUUUGCUCGAGUCUAUUGGGCGUGGACUUACCGCAGACCCUACCGUGGACGAGAUGUUGAGGAUACUAUCGUUCAGCUAUUAUGACCUGCCUUGCCCUCUGAAGACAUGCUUGAUAUAUCUAAGUAUGUUUCCGGAGGAUCACAAGAUCAUGAAAGAUCAGUUGAUAUGGAUGUGGAUUGCCGAGGGUUUUAUCCAAUCUGAAACAAUAUGA